This is a long non-coding RNA of Cyprinus carpio carpio, 376 nucleotides long. Lineage: Eukaryota; Metazoa; Chordata; Actinopteri; Cypriniformes; Cyprinidae. The record is from Ensembl.
GCAGGAAAACACAACACUGGGUGGCGCUGUUCCCACAGCUGUGCGACUGAACGACGAGCUACUCGCCAGUCAUCAAGCGGAUAGAAGGCUAGCCAGUAUUAUCAAGUCAGCUACGUCAGCAGAAAUUAUCCAGGCGAGACGACAUUUUUGCAUGCCAUGGCGAGAGUGUUGAAAACACCAAUUAUAUGUGGGGGUAAUUAAUGGACUAGAGGCCAUCACUCGCAGGAAGACCAGCAGAGCAUGAAGGCUCAGAAGAGUGCUCUGAUAACUACACACUGAGAGACACAUUGCCAUGCUGAGCAACUUUUCUAUUCACAACAGAAAUUUUGGUUGGAUAACAAGCCCCCAGAAUUAAAGUAGGUUAUUAAGAUGCAGG